GACGAACGCUGGCGGCGUGCCUAAUACAUGCGAGUCGAGCGGAGUAAAAAGCGUGCUUGCACGGUUUUUAUUUAGCGGCGAACAGGUGAGUAACACGUAGGUAACCUGGCCAUAAGACAGGGAUAACGCACGGAAACGUGAGCUAAAACCAGAUAGGCAUUUUCCACGCAUGAGGGAGAUGAGAAAGGCGGAGCAAUCUGCCGCUUAUGGAUGGACCUGCGUCGCAUUAGCUAGUUGGAGUGGUAAAGGCACACCAAGGCGACGAUGCGUAGCCGACCUGAGAGGGUGAGCGGCCACACUGGGACUGAGACACGGCCCAGACUCCUACGGGAGGCAGCAGUAGGGAAUCUUCCGCAAUGGACGAAGUCUGACGGAGCAACGACCGCGUGAGU
Molecule: ribosomal RNA, 392 nt
Filed under: uncultured bacterium
Lineage: Bacteria
Description: bacterial SSU rRNA
Rfam family: Bacterial small subunit ribosomal RNA
Source: RNAcentral